Molecule: ribosomal RNA, 763 nt
Filed under: uncultured SAR324 cluster bacterium
Lineage: Bacteria; Deltaproteobacteria
Description: SSU rRNA
Rfam family: Bacterial small subunit ribosomal RNA
Source: RNAcentral
GNUCAGAACGAACGCUGGCGGCAUGCCUUAUACAUGCAAGUCGAACGAGAAAGUCACUUCGGUGGCGAGUAGAGUGGCGCACGGGUGAGUAACGCGUAGAUGAUCUACCCUUCAGUCUGGGACAACUCUUGGAAACGAGAGCUAAUACCGGAUAAAACCUUCGGGUUGAAAGCUUUAGUGCUGGAGGAUGAGUCUGCGUACCAUUAGCUUGUUGGUGGGGUAAAAGCCUACCAAGGCGACGAUGGUUAGCGGGUCUGAGAGGACGAUCCGCCACACUGGAACUGAGACACGGUCCAGACUCCUACGGGAGGCAGCAGUAGGGAAUAUUGCGCAAUGGGGGAAACCCUGACGCAGCAAUGCCGCGUGAGUGAAGAAGGCCCUCGGGUCGUAAAGCUCUUUUAUGGGGGAAGAUGAUGACGGUACCCCAUGAAUAAGCACCGGCUAACUACGUGCCAGCAGCCGCGGUAAUACGUAGGGUGCGAGCGUUGUUCGGAAUUACUGGGCGUAAAGGGCGUGCAGGCGGAUUGGUAAGCCGGAGGUGAAAGCCCGGGGCUCAACCCCGGAGGGUCUUUCGGAACUGCCAGUCUUGAGAGGGUCAGGGGCCAGCGGAAUUCCUGGUGUAGAGGUGAAAUUCGUAKAGAUCAGGAGGAACACCGGCGGCGAAAGCGGCUGGCUGGGGCCACUCUGACGCUGAGGCGCGAAAGCGUGGGGAGCAAACAGGAUUAGAUACCCUGGUAGUCCACGCCGUAAACGAUGGGCUANA